AGAGGAGCUUGCUCUUCUUGGAUGAGUUGCGAACUGGUGAGUAACGCGUAGGUAACCUGCCUUGUAGCGGGGGAUAACUAUUGGAAACGAUAGCUAAUACCGCAUAACAAUGGAUGACCCAUGUCAUUUAUUUGAAAGGGGCAAAUGCUCCACUACAAGAUGGACCUGCGUUGUAUUAGCUAGUAGGUGAGGUAACGGCUCACCUAGGCGACGAUACAUAGCCGACCUGAGAGGGUGAUCGGCCACACUGGGACUGAGACACGGCCCAGACUCCUACGGGAGGCAGCAGUAGGGAAUCUUCGGCAAUGGGGGCAACCCUGACCGAGCAACGCCGCGUGAGUGAAGAAGGUUUUCGGAUCGUAAAGCUCUGUUGUAAGUCAAGAACGAGUGUGAGAGUGGAAAGUUCACACUGUGACGGUAGCUUACCAGAAAGGGACGGCUAACUACGUGCCAGCAGCCGCGGUAAUACGUAGGUCCCGAGCGUUGUCCGGAUUUAUUGGGCGUAAAGCGAGCGCAGGCGGUUUGAUAAGUCUGAAGUUAAAGGCUGUGGCUCAACCAUAGUUCGCUUUGGAAACUGUCAAACUUGAGUGCAGAAGGGGAGAGUGGAAUUCCAUGUGUAGCGGUGAAAUGCGUAGAUAUAUGGAGGAACACCGGUGG
This 657-nucleotide ribosomal RNA is filed under the name uncultured Bacilli bacterium. RNAcentral's name for it is "bacterial SSU rRNA". It matches the Rfam family "Bacterial small subunit ribosomal RNA", at positions 72 to 715 of the family's 1533-position model. The record is from RNAcentral. Lineage: Bacteria; Bacillati; Bacillota; Bacilli.